UCUGUAGAGAGAUCUGAGUACAAGUUUUUACUAAUUCUCUUCUGUAGCAUUUCGCGGGCGGUCUGAUGAUUAUACAGUGUCUCAGCUUCAUGACUUUGUCUGCAAGUUGUUUUCCAGGGAAAAAGGUUGUAUGGUUACCUUCACUGUCAUUUCUUCUUGUGGUGUUUAGAUAUGAAUCUCUUGUUUACUGUUGCCAAGCAUAAUGCACCAGUGUGCAUAUUAUCUCCACUUGUAGGUUGUAGCUGUACAUGCUAACCAUGCUUCCAUUCCCUU
RNAcentral lists this long non-coding RNA (273 nucleotides) under Hordeum vulgare. Its description in RNAcentral is "long non-coding RNA (HVUL_LNC017806)". The record is from RNAcentral. Lineage: Eukaryota; Viridiplantae; Streptophyta; Magnoliopsida; Poales; Poaceae.